RNAcentral lists this non-coding RNA (91 nucleotides) under Levilactobacillus brevis. RNAcentral's name for it is "Lactobacillus brevis TPP sequence". It matches the Rfam family "TPP riboswitch aptamer (THI element)". Rfam says of the family: Vitamin B(1) in its active form thiamin pyrophosphate (TPP) is an essential coenzyme that is synthesised by coupling of pyrimidine and thiazole moieties in bacteria. Lineage: Bacteria; Bacillati; Bacillota; Bacilli; Lactobacillales; Lactobacillaceae. RNAcentral also lists the same sequence under 1 other name. The record is from RNAcentral.
CCUUGUGGUCUGGGGUGCUUUAAUCGGCUGAGAGAUACCCAUGGAACCUGAUGCAGUUAAUACUGUCGAAGGAAGACCGUUUUAGUCAAAC